GUGAUCAUACUGGCACUAAUGCACCGGAUCCCAUCAGAACUCCGAAGUUAAACGUGCUUGGGCGAGAGCAGUACUGGGAUGGGUGACCCCCUGGGAAGUCCUCGUGUUGCACCU
This 114-nucleotide ribosomal RNA is filed under the name Zingiber officinale. Lineage: Eukaryota; Viridiplantae; Streptophyta; Magnoliopsida; Zingiberales; Zingiberaceae. The record is from RNAcentral.